Molecule: transfer RNA, 72 nt
Filed under: Camelus bactrianus (Bactrian camel)
Lineage: Eukaryota; Metazoa; Chordata; Mammalia; Artiodactyla; Camelidae
Also listed under: 2 other names
Rfam family: tRNA
About the family: Transfer RNA (tRNA) molecules are approximately 80 nucleotides in length.
Source: Rfam by way of RNAcentral
GAGGGUAUACUCAAUUGGUAAAGUAUGUGCUUAGCAUGCAUGAGAUCCUGGAUUCAAUCCCCAGUACCUCCA